AAUAGCUCAGUGGUAGAGCAUCGCCUUGCCAAGGCGAGGGUCGGGAGUUCGAAUCUCCUUU
Molecule: transfer RNA, 61 nt
Filed under: Halomonas sp. HL-93
Lineage: Bacteria; Pseudomonadati; Pseudomonadota; Gammaproteobacteria; Oceanospirillales; Halomonadaceae
Description: tRNA-Gly
Rfam family: tRNA
About the family: Transfer RNA (tRNA) molecules are approximately 80 nucleotides in length. Their secondary structure includes four short double-helical elements and three loops (D, anti-codon, and T loops).
Source: RNAcentral